Ictalurus punctatus (channel catfish) is the source of this 2396-nucleotide long non-coding RNA. The record is from Ensembl. NCBI's taxonomy places the organism in Eukaryota, Metazoa, Chordata, Actinopteri, Siluriformes, Ictaluridae.
AUUAUUCGUCGUGCUGUACGUGCAAACAGACGACUGCUUGAAGCCGUGGGCUGCGUCCCAAACCGCGUACUUACCGUCUCUAAAGUAGCCGAGAUACAUGUAUUUCUCCUACUCCAGGCCUAUAGUAGGCAAGUACGCUGUUUGGGACGCAGCCGUGCUCUCUCUCUUUUGCCGUAAAAUGUCGAGCGCUGCCGUGUGUGAACGUGUCCUGUCGCAAAAUGCGGUGAAAACUCCCACACGCCGUUAAUAGUGUGAUUAAGGUGUGUACAUGUCUGUAAUACUCGUCCAUAAUACGACUAAAACAGGAAUACUUCAACUCUCUUAAUACGAUUUGUGUUUACUUCGAGUACGACUUUAAUCGUAUUAAGGUCAUUAAAAAUCGCUGUUUACAUGGUAGUUUCUUAAUCAGUGUAUCGUCUUAAUCGGGUUAAUACUGGACUAUUGUUGUCCAUGUAAACGCACUGAGCGUCGUCAAAAUAAUAGCCGCAACAUAAUAAAUACACACAUAUAGUAUUUAGUGUGUAAUCUGGUGCUUUCAAGCGACACCGUGUUUGUGUAAGGAGAAGGAUUUAUUAGCAGUGAGCAUUUUAUUUCGUGUAUGUCACGUGCGCGCACUCAGUAAAAUGGCGAGCGCUUGCGUCGUCUUCGUCUCCUUUUUCAGCUUCUGCUUCGUCGCUAAUAUACGAGGAGCUCCCCCUGCGCCACCUGUCGGGAGAUGAUCUGCACUCGGAGAGGAAAACGGCUAAACCUUUUGAAUCUGAUUAUUCACACACACACACAUGCACACACGCACUCACACACACACUAUCACAGCUGGAUCAGAGACCAGAAGCUGUCUUUAGCAGAAUGCAAAAAUGAAACUUUACCUGGCUAACUGAAAUAUUCUCAGGUGAAGAGGAUUUAGGCCAUUAGUUAAAAUAAUAUUAUUAAUAAUAAUAAUAUUUUUAUAUAUAUAUAUAAAAGAAGGUGACCAAACUUUUGCACAUAUGUUUGAAUUAUUUAGCAUUUACAAAUAAAUAGCAACUUUGUAUUUGCGACUAAAUCGUAACUAUGCAUUGCAAGUGAAAGACACUUUUCCAUACAUCUACGAUAAAAUGAAUGUUUUAAGCACACUACAUGAUGUCUAAACAGCUCCAGCCUGACGUACCUCUAGACCAGAGAACACCGUGCAGUGUCAUGGUCCUGAUCAAUUCAUAUGUACUAUCGCUCUUCACGGAGUGUUAAGAGGACAAGAGAGAUAUUAUAAUAUGCAUUCCACAUUAUCUGUGAGACACAUACCAAGCAUGGUACCAUUUUUGUAGCACUUGUUGAUCAUGAUUAACGCUAUUAGGAUGAAAGGAGAGAUUACAUAAGGCAAUCAGUAGACAAUCAUUGCAUUGUGAUGCAUAAAGAUUGACUUGUUUGUCAAAAGAAUUGAAAAAAGGAUUACUCUCAUAGCCUGUUUCCCCCAAAAGGGAUCCAUUGUUUCAUUAUUAGAUCAGAUUUUAUAACUUAAAAUAAUAAUAAUAAUAAUUUUUUUUUUAGUGUUGAUGAUUGGGCUAUACGAUUUUUAAUUGUGCAAACCAUUACCUUUAAACUUGAUCUGUGAAUAGUGUAUUAAUGUGCAUGAAUAUUUGAUCAGCCAUUCGGUUUACUCUGCAGCUAAAGUGGCUCUCCGGAAACUGUGCAAACGCAUUCUUUCUGUCUGUGAAAAGGGAUCCUAUUAUUAUUAUUAUUAUUAUUAUUAUUAGUUUUUAAAUGAUGUGCAUGUCUUAAACUUGGCAGAUCUUUAAACUAACCACUUCUUCAUAACUGACCAAAAAAUACACAAAGUGCCACUAAGCCCACAGUAUUUCCAGUAGGCUUCGCCAGGUUUGUGCGAAGGACCUGAUUGUGUACGUGUGGUGCAAACUGUGCUGCUGAGAAUACAAGUCUUCUCCGUUCAUUAUCUUGGAUUACUUUGAUUGACAUAUAAUGCUCAAGCAGAUUUGACUGUUCCAAUCUGUCACUAAUUUCCUGGUACCAGUGCUCUUUUUUUUAAAAAUAUAUUUUAUUUUUUAAAAUAAAGAUUCUUAAAGUGUGAAUGGUUAUAGAGAAAUCUUAAUGUAAUGUAUAAUUACACUAUAUGUAGCUAGAUAUUUUUAUUGUAAAAAUGUACAAUAUAGAGAAUUAAACAUAGCUUAUAAUUGAACAUGUGACAUUUAAAGAUUAAUUACAAAGAGGCAAGCCCGGUUUCUUACCAGGACCCUUUUUCCAUGGAUGGUUUAUGUUGACUUGAUAUAUUUCACAUUCUUCUUGGGUUAUUGUAAUUUUAAAUAAGUUCCCAUGGCUUGCCAAAUGUUCAUGUUGACAUUUUUAGGGUGUGUUUGUAUGAUUUUUCGUGUUAAAUUUGAAAUAAAAACGGUUAUGGGGAAAAA